Molecule: ribosomal RNA, 114 nt
Filed under: Paramormyrops kingsleyae
Lineage: Eukaryota; Metazoa; Chordata; Actinopteri; Osteoglossiformes; Mormyridae
Source: RNAcentral
GUCAGCUGCCACACCACCUACAGUUUAGACUAGUUAAUACUUCUCAAGCUAAGUAGGCUGGGCCCAGCCACUACUUGGAUGGGAAACCAGGUAGGAAAGCUGGGUGUGUUGGUG